UGUUAAAGAUUUCAUCCAUUUGUAUUGUUAAAAACUGGCUUGAUUGAUGGAAUAACCAGAUAGUGACACGUGACAUGCCAUGCAUACCUUAUGUUGAUGUAUAGGGACAAGUUUUUAACAAUAAAAAUGAAUGAACUUUUUAACA
This is a non-coding RNA of Gossypium hirsutum (cotton), 145 nucleotides long. Lineage: Eukaryota; Viridiplantae; Streptophyta; Magnoliopsida; Malvales; Malvaceae. The record is from Rfam.